Molecule: transfer RNA, 90 nt
Filed under: Fusarium pseudograminearum CS3427
Lineage: Eukaryota; Fungi; Ascomycota; Sordariomycetes; Hypocreales; Nectriaceae
Source: RNAcentral
GGAUCCCCGAAACCUGGAUCGAACAAGUGACCUUUCGAUGACAUGUAUACAAUUACAGUCGAACGCUCUUCCAGCUGAGCUAUUCGGGGA